Molecule: transfer RNA, 90 nt
Filed under: Lachnospiraceae bacterium
Lineage: Bacteria; Bacillati; Bacillota; Clostridia; Lachnospirales; Lachnospiraceae
Description: tRNA-Ser
Rfam family: tRNA
About the family: Transfer RNA (tRNA) molecules are approximately 80 nucleotides in length. Their secondary structure includes four short double-helical elements and three loops (D, anti-codon, and T loops).
Source: RNAcentral
GGAGACGUAUCGAAGCGGUCAUAACGAGGCGCACUCGAAAUGCGUUUGCCCCUUUCGGGCACGCGGGUUCGAAUCCCGCCGUCUCCGCUA